GACGAACGCUGGCGGCGUGCUUAACACAUGCAAGUCGAACGGAAAGGCCCUGCUUUUGUGGGGUGCUCGAGUGGCGAACGGGUGAGUAACACGUGAGUAACCUGCCCUUGACUUUGGGAUAACUUCAGGAAACUGGGGCUAAUACCGGAUAGGAGCUCCUGCUGCAUGGUGGGGGUUGGAAAGUUUCGGCGGUUGGAGAUGGACUCGCGGCUUAUCAGCUUGUUGGUGGGGUAGUGGCUUACCAAGGCUUUGACGGGUAGCCGGCCUGAGAGGGUGACCGGCCACAUUGGGACUGAGAUACGUCCCAGACUCCUACGGGAGGCAGCAGUGGGGAAUAUUGCACAAUGGGCGGAAGCCUGAUGCAGCAACGCCGCGUGCGGGAUGACGGCCUUCGGGUUGUAAACCGCUUUCGCCUGUGACGAAGCGUGAGUGACGGUAAUGGGUAAAGAAGCACCGGCUAACUACGUG
RNAcentral lists this ribosomal RNA (468 nucleotides) under uncultured bacterium. RNAcentral's name for it is "partial 16S ribosomal RNA". It matches the Rfam family "Bacterial small subunit ribosomal RNA", at positions 28 to 507 of the family's 1533-position model. The record is from RNAcentral.